Mycena galericulata is the source of this 89-nucleotide non-coding RNA. NCBI's taxonomy places the organism in Eukaryota, Fungi, Basidiomycota, Agaricomycetes, Agaricales, Mycenaceae. The record is from the annotation of a GenBank genome assembly.
GCACUGGUGGUGUAUGGUACACACAGUCAUCUUGUAAAACCUCCAUACCAGGAGUGAUUGAGUACGAGGUUCGAUUCCCCGCUGGUGCA